AAUGCCAAACAUAAUAUAUUCUUAAAGAAAAAAACAAAUAAAUUCAUCAAACAUUACAUCUAAAAUGAAAAACAUCUUGCAUAAAUGCCUUUAUUGCAAAAUGAGGUUUACACCAUUUUUGCACAUCUCAAUAAAGCAGAGAGACAAUUUCAAUAUAAAAAAGCAUCACAAAGCCAAAUAAAGAGUUGAGCAGUUGUAAAUUUGGAGGUGUGCGUAACCCUAACCUCUGGAUUUUUUCUUUUCGACAGAUUAGGGCUUUAAACACCACCAUAAUUAACUUUUUAGGAGAGGCUAAUAAUUAGACAGCAAAAAUCAAACUUCCACCGCUCUGUAUUUAAAGCCAACUCCUACAGAUAAAUGGCCAAUAGAUUUAGCUCAUAAUCAUGAAUCCCAAAUUUCCAAUGCAAAUCUAUAGCUACAAACAAGAAGAAAAAUUAGCGAUCAAGGAAUUUUCAUUCAACAAAUUAACAAGCAAAAUCUUGACUAAAUCCAAUAGGCUCAAAAUAUUAAUCAAUGAUUUUAGUGGUUGCUCAUGUUCUAUGGGUGUAAAAUGAGUCUGUCAUGCCAUGGCUAUAGCAUUCAGUACGAGGAAUUACUUUAUAAUCAUCGCAACCAACCCUAACUCAACUCAAACAAUACAGAAUUAAACAGUGAUAAAUUAAAAGAACAUAGUAAAUUUAACGAAAUAUAAUUUAACUGAAUUAGACUAAUUUAACUGAAAUUAGAUUGAAGGAAUGAUUUAAUGGAGAUGAUCUAUAUGUACAUAAAAGAACAUACAUCCAUUUUAACGACGCUCAAGAAAAGGAUGAAAUCGAAGAGGGCGGCUAAAAAUGAAAUUUGGGUUAUGAAGGUAGUGGGAGCCGGCUUCUAUUUAUAUAGCAAGAUAGAGAGAACUACAUAAAACCCUAAUCCUAGUGCUAGCUGACAGCACGAUUCUAAAAC
RNAcentral lists this long non-coding RNA (942 nucleotides) under Panax ginseng (ginseng). Its description in RNAcentral is "long non-coding RNA (PGIN_LNC008499)". Lineage: Eukaryota; Viridiplantae; Streptophyta; Magnoliopsida; Apiales; Araliaceae. The record is from RNAcentral.